Spea bombifrons (plains spadefoot toad) is the source of this 208-nucleotide long non-coding RNA. RefSeq lists it as uncharacterized. The transcript has 3 exons. NCBI's taxonomy places the organism in Eukaryota, Metazoa, Chordata, Amphibia, Anura, Pelobatidae. The record is from RefSeq and is a predicted model, not a curated record.
UGCUGUCUGUGAAAGUCCAUGCAGAGCAACUCAACAAGAUUCUGGCCUUAAUGAGUUUGAAACUUUCUCCUGAGGAACUCCAACUUUUAAUUCAUGAUGUAUAUGAAACAGAACCAGUGAAGCUGAAAAUAAACAUAAAAGAGUCUCCAAAGCUGACCCAGGACAGUGAAAACGCGACAUUUUCCAUCUCUGCAACAGUGGAUGGGUU